GACACAGAACUUUAUGAUGGAUAAACCAAGGGAAAGAGGAGAACAGACACCAGAAACUGGCCAUGGGAAGAGUUCUCAAUAGGGCUGAUGCUAACAAGCUCAGUGAUACUUGAAUACAGGAUUCCUGGGCAAGAUGGCCAAAUAGGAACAGCUCCAAUAUGCAGCUCCCAGCGAGACCAACACAGAAGGUAGGUGAUUUCUUCAUUUCCAACGGAGGUACCCGGUUCAUCUCACUGGGACUGGUUAGAGAGUGGGUGCAGCCCACGGAGGGCAAGCAGAAGCAGGGUAGGGCAUUGCCUCAACCAGGAAGUGAAAGGGGUUGGGGAACUCCCUCCCCUACCCAAAGGAAGCCUUGAAGGACGGUGCCAUGACAGACAGUGCUUGCCAGCCCAGAUACUACGCUUUUCCCACAGUCUUUGCAACUCCCAGACCAGGAGAUUCCCUCGGGUGCCUAUACCACCAGGGCCCUGGGUUUCAAGCACAAAACUGGGCGGCUGUUUGGGCAGACACAGACCUACUGGGCUAGCUGCAGGAAUUUUUUUUCAUACCCCAGUGAAGACUGGAACCCCAGUGAGACAGAACUGUUCACUCCCCUGGAAAGGGAGAUGAAGUCAGGGAGCCAAGUGGUCUUGCUCAGAGGAUCCCACCCCUAUGGAGCCCAG
RNAcentral lists this long non-coding RNA (662 nucleotides) under Homo sapiens (human). Its description in RNAcentral is "HSALNT0058575". Lineage: Eukaryota; Metazoa; Chordata; Mammalia; Primates; Hominidae. The record is from RNAcentral.